Gastrolobium bilobum is the source of this 104-nucleotide small nucleolar RNA. NCBI's taxonomy places the organism in Eukaryota, Viridiplantae, Streptophyta, Magnoliopsida, Fabales, Fabaceae. The record is from RefSeq and is a predicted model, not a curated record.
ACUCAGUGUGUGUUCCAGCUGUAAAUACGGACAUAAAGCAAAGUGUGGGCUUUAGGUGGGCUUGAUUAAGUUUUGAACUGCCCAUAAAGGACCCACAUACAUCG